AUGAUGCGGGGGACGAAGCUUCCGUGCUCGCCGGAGGCAGGGCCGAGGUGUGGAGGACAGGAGGAGCACGGCCCCGACAUCCGCAAUGAUGGAUUGGUUGCUGCUUCUUCAAGGGUUAAGAGAAUGAAGGUCUCGCACUGCCGGCAAAAUUGUUCGUCAACUGACGAUGCAAAUGGCCAGACAAAGACAGGGGCCUCACCCUGCCAACAAGGCGAUACCACUCAGACAGAGCAGUGUUCAGAGCCAUAUCUUCCCGAGGACAUCUGGCAUCAUAUACAUUCCUUGAUGCCACUGAAAGAUGCUGCCAGAGCUGCCUGUGUGUCUCAGUCCUUCCUGUCUUCCUGGAGAUGCCGUUCCAACCUCGUUCUUAGUAGGGAAUCAUUUGGCUUGGGUCAAGGUGAUAAGGAAACAGCUAGAGAUUUUAGAAGAAAAAUUGACCAUAUUCUGAGAAACCACUCAGGAACUGGCGUGAGAAAACUCAACCUUUGGUUGGUUCCAAAUUACAAUGCGAAGAACUGUGGUUACGUUGACAAAUGGCUUGAGAAGGCAGUUACACCAGGGAUUGAAGAACUCACCCUUAGUAUGCCUAUAAACAACAAAUCCAAAUACGAGUUUCCAUGCACGGUUUUAUCAAAUGGGAGGGGGGACUCGCUUCGGUGUCUUUGCCUUACCAAUUGUUCUUUUCAUCCUAUAGCCUUGCUUGGUUGUUUGAGAAGCUUGACCAAAUUAGAGCUGUUUAUGGUGCGUAUUCCAGGGGAUGAGCUAUGCUGCCUUCUUUCUAGUUCUUCAGCUUUAGAGUGGCUUUCACUUAGGUAUUGCAGUAAGGUAAACUGCUUGAAGAUACCAUGUCACCUUCAGCAUCUAAGGCACGUGAAGGUGGAAGAUUGCAGCAUGCGAAUGAUAGAGAGCAAAGCUCCAAAUCUCUCCAGCUUUCAGUUUAAAGGUGACCUCAAGGUACAAGUCUCACUUGGAAAAGCAUUGCAAGUGAAGAGCUUAUACAUGAGGAGCACCGUAUUUGGUUGUGACACUCGAGCAGAGCUGGCGUCCAGCAUGCCAAGCAGGGAGGUGGUCAAUUCACCAAUUGUGUCUAGCAAACUCACCGACCUGAAAUCUAUGAUCAUCUGUCUUGGAGAAAUGGCCUUUUGCCUGAGCUUUGAUUGUCAGUCUAUGUUUUCUAUCCUUGGUGCUUCUCUUACGUUGGAGACUUUCAUCUCACGUGUAUCUGAUGAACUCAUGCAGCAUGCCUUAGUUUUCGGAGAUCCCUCAAGAUCGUGGAUGUUGGACAUGAGUGGCGGCGGCGUGUCCCCAUUGAAUAAGAGUCUGAUUAAGCUAGCGUGUCAUAUCCUCAGGGCCUGGUUGAUUUAA
Molecule: ribosomal RNA, 1365 nt
Filed under: Triticum aestivum (bread wheat)
Lineage: Eukaryota; Viridiplantae; Streptophyta; Magnoliopsida; Poales; Poaceae
Description: partial small subunit ribosomal RNA
Source: RNAcentral